Molecule: long non-coding RNA, 18086 nt
Organism: Falco peregrinus (peregrine falcon)
Lineage: Eukaryota; Metazoa; Chordata; Aves; Falconiformes; Falconidae
Exons: 3
Source: RefSeq, a predicted model, not a curated record
CUCUUUCCAGGCUGCUUGGAUCCAGGACUUUGAUCCAUCAUUGUCAUCCUGGAACAAAGGCCUGUGUGGAAACUGAAAUCUGGUUCCAGAUAGUUUCCAACCAGUCAGAUCCAUGGCUUGGGUCAGGAAUGCUCUUUUUCUGGUGUUUGCUUUCGUGGACUUUAAGGUGCAGAUGUAAUUUUUUUUUCUUGGUCAUCAGCAUUGCCAGAAGUAAAAAAGCUUUUGAUGAAAUCACUGAUUUGAGGCAAGUGUGUUAAGACCAAUGAUAGGCUUGUCGCUGGCACCUAGAUUUAAUUUCACCUCCUAUGAAAUAUAGGUUUCAUAAAAUGCUCCAUGACUUCUCUGAGCCUUUUCAAUUUUCUGAAAUCAGUUUUGAAAAAAUAUUUUACCUUCUUCAGCCAGUCAAUUUUCUUGACUUUUUGACCUUUAAAUUCAAUCUGUUGUAUCCAAAUUAGUUGGCACAGAACAAAAAUACAAUACUGGAAACUUAGCUGCCUUACAGAAGCAAUGGGCAGAGUUCUGCCUGCAGUACAAAUCUGGAGCAGAUUUAGUGGCUGUAUGCCAGGUCUGAACUGAAAGCAAAAGCGGGCUGUUUAUUUUGUUGCCAAAUUAUAUAUAAAUGCUGCACAAAUUGUGUCCUUGCAGAGCAUCACUCUUUCUACACACACAAAUAUUUAUGUGAUGAAUAGACUGUAUAGCAGAGUUACUGUGGCACUAAACUUGCAGGCAUUUGUGCUGGAACAACUGUGCAACAUGCUGUUAUUUUUAAAGAUGCUGCCCUUGUAAGUCUUUACACCUCAUUGUUUUUGUAUGGCAAAUUUGCCAUUUCUCUGGAUAGCUAUAAAUGUGACCAUAACGUAUCUACAAGGUCACAGUAAAUAAAUAUAUAAUUAAUAAAGCCUUAUGCAAUGUAAAGAUGCAUUCAAAUGACAUAAGAUACUACAUUUCAAUGUUACUUUUAUUAAAGAUAUUACAAGGGGAAAAUCAGGUAUCUACCACUGAAAAGCCCUUGGCUACCUGUUGGGAGAUGGGUGUGUGAAUUUUAUUGUCCAUCUAAUUACUUCGCUGAAGAUUCUGCGAUUUAGAAUCCCAUUUCACACCCUGGUAGGGAUGUUAGAUAUUGUUUCCUGGCCCAAAUCCAAGCCAAAGAGUGAAUUUCUGCACACCAACGUGCCCCUGCUGCUACAGCUGAAUAUACCUCUUGAUGGUUUGCACCGAAAAAUAUGUAAUAUUGCUUUUGCGCUCUGCUCCCCAGGCAGGUGAUAUGACAGCGUACCUAAGCAAUACGGUGAGUGACAUUUUGCCAGUUGGGUGGAGACUCUGCCAGAAAUCCCUAGUCGGUGCAGGCUGGUGCCCUGAGGGUCUCCGAACUCCACCAGGCUAUUAUCCCACAUUUAUGGUCAGUGGGAGCCAAAGUGAACCUGAUGUGUAAAGGUGGGAUGCAGCUAGGGGCCAGCUGUGAGCCUCUGUAUUGUUCUACAAAUGUCAGGAUCCUUUGGAAAAGCUCUGUAAGAACUGCUGGAUAAUGCACGUUGCAGGGGAAGCCCCUUCAGUGUUACUGAAAGAAAACCUUUGUCCCAUUUUAAAUUACAUUUAUUAAUUGUCUGAGCAAUUUUGAGCUGGAAGACAAAAUGGUGAUGUAAGGAAUAGCAGUGUCAUGACUGCGAGUGUUAUAUCAGCAGCUCGGAACUCCUCCAGCUCCAUCCAUGGACCAGGUAUCACCCACAUGGGGAAACCUGUAAGGAAUGAUGCUGUCAUGUUCCUUGAGUUCAAGGCAGGACUUGCAUCUCGUCUUUCAUUGUCUAGGCAAAUCUAUGGAAUUUGCUAGGUAGAGCAGUGUAAAAUUCCCAGAAAUGCAAAGCUAAUGGUUUUUUGCUUUUUUGCUUGCAUGUGGUGCAGACGUUGCGAUGAGGAUCUGGUAAUUUAAAUUGUGGGGACCUGGAAGCCCCACCACGAGGUCUGUAGCCAUCUUGCUGAUUUAUAAAGAGGCAAAAAAAUAAUGAAUUAGGCAAAACAAGGAAUGAGACAAUGUUUCAGAUUUUCCCCUCCAAAGAGUAGUAAUUUAUUGAACAUUUAAAGCUCCUAAUUAAGUAUAUAAACCAAUCACUCUGUCUCCCUCCCUCUCCCUUUUAAUAAGGUUUCCAGAGCAAAGCAAAGGUGUGAAGUCGGUCAGGCUCUCCUCAGAGGAUUAAGGAAAAUUGUGUAAGUUAUAUUUAAUUCAAUUAAUCUUUCCAGAUAGGUCCUAAAUCAUGUCAUCAAUCUAUUUGAUUCCACAGGCAUAAUCCUUAACAUGCAGCUGCCUCACACAAUAAGCCAGGGACAUGCUCGGCUGCAUUCAAGGGAAAUAAAUUUAAUUAUAAACACAUCAUAGAGUCGAACAUUUCCUGAAUUUGGAAUUCAAUGUCUUGUCAGCCUUCCAGACGAGAACAACAUCAAACUUUUAUAGGGAAGCAGACUCUGUCCUGAAUUUAUAUGUACUGGCAAGCGCCUUAACUGGAGGAAAGCAUAAAAACUAUGGUUUUUAAACAUUUUAAAACUUAAAGCUACUUUCAUCUUCAGUAGAACUACUCACAGUGUCAAAUAAAGCCAGGAGUAUGGUUACUAGAAUUUGUCAUAAAAAGGGAGAAAUACAAAAAUCUAUCUGGUCCAGAUGGCCACAGCAUCACACUCAAAAUACUGAGGGUUGCAGAGGGACUGGAGGGGCAGGGGGCUACAAGCCAUUCACAGCCCAUGUGAGUGGCCAGAAGUUCAACUUCUCACUGUGUUUAAAACCUGGGGGCUCCAUUUGGUGCCAGUUGUUACUCAGUGAUGCCACCGAGGACCUUACAUGUGAGGUUGAUCUCGCUGUGAUCGUGUGACUUAGUAAGCUGAGGUACACGGGGACCAGAAGUCACUCGGUAAGCCAUGACCUGGUGCGCAAGGAGGGGCAAGCAUCCUGCAAAGAGGGUCAUUGGGUUCUUCCAGGGGUGAAGAAGCCAAGCCCUGGGUGUCCACAGGAGGAUCAGAGCCCCUCCUGACCAGCAGAAGCCUGUUAACGCUAAUUAGGCACAUCAUAGGGCAUCUGGAUUUAUUAGGACAUAAAUAAUUCUGUUUUCCUCUUUUAUUUACCUGUUACUCUAACUCAGUAUUGCCUCCUCAGCCAUACAGAUGCCCAGUUCUUUCUGGAUUCCUUUAAAAGUAAUGAUUGAUGGUUGUUUUACUGCAUGAGAUUUUUUAGUAUAACCUCAGGUUAUGCUAAAUAAUCCAUAAUUUAUAAUGGAAUAUUGUAUAACAGAUGUUUUCAAGGAAUUUUAUGCUUUGGAAGUUCUAUGAAAAAGUUGCAGAAAGAAAAAAGAAGUUUGAAAUCCCUGAAACAUCCCCUUCCAAAAUUUUCUCACACUUUUCCAGUUAGGGAGGCAAAAUUAGUUUUUAUUUAGAAAUGUGAAGUUAUACUUUAAAGAAUUAACAAAAUGAAGUGUUUUCAUUGCUCCUCCAGUGAUAAAGCAAGAGUCCAGGCAGCAAGCACCAAAAGUGUGAGAGGCAGCACAGCUCUUGAGGUGCUCGUGAGGCUGAGCAAUGGCUUUUAGUGUUUCAAACGAAGGUGUCUGUAUUAGUGUAUUAUAUAUCAUAAAUGUAUAAUGGGGGAAAACUGUUCUGCCAAUAGCUUCAUUAGUUCAGAUUAAAUUUUUAAUCUUCGCUUUUGGCAGGCUUAAUUAUUAAAGCUAAUUUCACGGUAGUUGGUGUGUUUCUUGUUAGCUUUGGCCCCUCUUGGGAGGUAACACCUAUGUUUUAUGUGGCAGUUUUCCCAUGACCUGCCAGCUCCCACCUACCAAUUCACCCUCUCCCAUCCUCCAUGGUUUGCGUUUAGCUUGUUGUUUCUAAUGUUUCAACAAUAAAUAGGUUUAGUUUAUCACCAAAUCAAAGUUGUGCUGGUCUCAAGGGCUUGUGGUUGCUUCCACACGGCGCUUUUUUCUGUGUCUGAGUGGGAUGUAUCGGUGUGUUUUUUGUAUUUUCUUUUCCUCAGCUGUUCUACAGACUGUCUUGUGGUAUUUUAUCAGUCACUGAGAUUGAGAAGUUUUGAGCUGAGGCAUAAGAGAUCAGGCAUUUUCCUCCUGCCAGGGAGAUGCGCUGAAGCGGAUGCUGGGGGAAAGGCACAGGUUGCUUGGUGGGGCUGGGGGGGCCUGGGAGGCAGCCCCAAGUCCCAGGGCAGUGGGGAGGUAGCAAUGGGCUCACCAGCAAUGGGCUGUCACCUCCUGCACAUAUCUGGGAUGGUGGCAGCUCCCCUGCAUCAUGUGCAAUAACCCCACCAUGCCCACAGCACUGUUCCUGCCACAGCAACAGAGAAAAGCUUUGGAACUAUAAAACCGAGCAAGUGCAGAAGCCCAGGAGUAAAUCCCAGGGGAUGAAAAGGCCACCUUUAUACUAUAUCAAUUUCCCAUACAGCCCAUCAAACAUUUUCUUUACUUGUUACAUGUUAAUUUAGGUUGUGACAGCUUUUUCUAAGUGCCCUUUAAAUUCGCUUAUAAUGCAGAGGAAGAGCAGGAGAUCAAGAGAGAUAAUUAUUUGUUCAAACCUCUGCUGCAACUUCAUGCACAAACUAGAAAAUCUCAGUUCAAGUCAGAGGAAAGGAGAGCCCAAGCACUGCUUAUUGCCUUUCUGUAGUAUGUAGCGUUAGCCACAUACAGUUAUUUCACCUGGUAUUUUAUUAGUCUUUUCCCCACGCUUCCCUGGCGUGGUGGCAGGGCAAGUGUAGGAGAACAAAAACCCGCCUGUGGAGAAAAGGCACCCGUGGUUGCUGAGCUGCAUCAGAAGCCAUUAUUUUUAGAUGACAUCUUUAUCUGUGCAGGAUUUGCAUCUCUCUCAGGUAACCCGGGGACACCUUGCCAGAAAAUUUAGUUGUUUCCAGUUUCUACUUUUGUUUUUACACAGUUAGUAGCUUCUCAGGAAGAGCGAAGCUUUCACCGAUCAAACAGCAAUAUUCAUGAUACUUUUUACUAAAGGUUCUAGAAAAAAAUCUGUUACUCAAAUUCUAGGAUAUUUUAUAUUUACAAGCAACUAGAUAGUAUUAAUGAAAAAUAGGUGCCAGGUAUUUUGGUGAUUGUUUACAAGUGUUUUCAUAAGCAUCUCAAUACAACGAUAAUUAAAUCUGUAGAAAUAUUUUCCACUGCUACUUUUUCUGUUGCAAUUAAUACAGAAUGUUUUUUUCAACCUCUAGGUGAUGCCUUCACUGUUGUAAGUGCAUCAAGCUAAAGACAGCAUAUAUCAAGGUAAAGAUGUCACUGUUGCCUGUGAUUAACCUCUUAGACUACAAUCUCUUUAUCUCGAAAACAGCAAGGAGGAGCAGGCAGGUCUUGCCAGGGGUGGCAAGAUAUCGUCUGACAGCGCAGAAGCAAAUGACCGUGGCUACGUGGGGACAUGCAUGUUGGGAGAUGGCCCACAAACUGGACACUGGCUGCUGCUGCAUGCCACCUCGUCCCACAGCAAAGCAAGUGAUGGGCUCCUCUUGCAUUGCACCACCUGGUAAUCUCUGGGGAGGAAAGCUGGGUUAUCACUAGGGACUUCAAUCUGACUGUCAUACGGAGGUCUCAGGCUGUCAGUGCUAAAAUGUCCUUGAAAUAUUUCAUACUUAUAGUUGGCAGUCUCCUAACCCCAAAAUUGUUGUGUUUGGCACGGGAGAAAUCUGUAUUAGACCUUCUCGUGAUGGGGAAAGAGAGAAGGUAAGUUUUUAAGAAUUGAAAAUGAGUGAUUUACCUGGCUACAAUUAAUUCUGGAUGGGCUACACUGCCAAGACAGCUUUACUUGCCUUCAUGAUGGAAUUUGGUAACAGCAGGUGUUGCAGUGUAGUAGACCAAGUAUAAUAAGAUUCAGUGGAAACAGAAGCUAGUGCAAACUGAAAAAAAAAGGUAGUGCAUUUUCUGGAGUGAGGAAAAUUAACUCUGGGAACAAUUUGCAAAAGAGUUGUGGUCAAGUCGUUAUUACAGAAACACAACCAGAUUUUUCUCUCUGAAAUCUACACUCUGGAUCCCACAGAGACUGGACGUGCAGCAGGAAUUAAUGCGGGACAGCGCGGCGGCCAGCCAAGGCACUGUGUUGGGAGGGAUCAUCACAGCGGUCCACUCCAGCUCGGCUCUUUCUGAAUCUAUGAAAACAUCCAUCCAAGCCUCUGGAGAAGUGAACAUACUUCUGGGAAGUGCCUGGAGAGAGAAAUUAUUGUCAACAUGGUCUGAAGUUUCCAGCAAAUGCAUCCUGCCUCGCCUCUCUCAGGGCUCUCUGGGAGGAUGUUGGUGCCACAGACGUGAGUACAGCUGGAGCAUCGACCGUAGGAAACCACCGCUGCAAUCUGUAAACUGGUCUUUAGUUCUCUGUCAGCAUCACAUGCAGCCUGAGUAAUAUUUGUCCUGUUUCCAUAUUAAGAAAGAGAAUAUACUGGGUGUUUUUAACGGACGGGCAAACUACCCCUGUGCAAUAUUAUGGCUCUUGUCAGUGACAGUUUCCAUGGCGUUCAUGUUCUCUUUUUCCUUCUCGGAGUUAGCACAAUUUCAUUAGCUCCAAAGAUAGUGUUUAAAUUGCCCAUCUUGUUAAUAAAUUAAACCCUGGUAAUUAUGGGCUUUUCUAAAUAAUCUAAUAAGAAUGCUUCUGCUUUGACGGGGGGAGUUUAACUGUAAAACCAAUAUUUAUAAUGUACUUACAGAAACUGUGAUCAACAGGAAUGCCUUGCCUGGAGAGUAAAGGUCCUCUCUACCCAGUAUAGCCAGAGUCCAGCUUCUUGAUGGGAAAAGGAGCUACAGCUUUAAAUGCAGGGACCAUUGAGCCAGUUGUCAUUUCAUCAAGGGAUUCAGAGAAUCUUUGCUUAAAGUUCUCCUUUCCCACUGCUGACACCUUCCCCAGCCAAUCUGAUCCCACUGCAGCCGCAUGGGGCACGGUGCAGCCCACGGGACAGGAUGCCCUGCGGAGCAGGGAUGGUGCAUCCCCACUGGCCACCUAUGUUACGGAGGUACAGUCUGGUUUUGUUUGGUUGCUUUUUUUUAUUAGUGACAUGGCUGAUUUUGAUGUUGCUCGGGUGGAUCUACACUGUAGCCGAGCACGGAGCUGUGUCAGAGAAGUUGUGCGGUUCAGCUCUCUCUAAUGUAAAAUAUUCACAAGAGCAAGAGCUAAGGUGGAGCAGGAGACUUGUGCGGUGUGUCCCUCCCAUGUGCUGGCUGCACCGCCACGAUUCAGCUGUGUCUUGGAAAAAAACCCAUUCAGAAUGAACUUUAAUUAGCCUGGCUAUUGUUUGAAAGAGCAUUAAAAUGCAUGCAUAUGGAUUGGAGCAACAGAGUGAUAAAUAGUAAGUGGGAUGAGAGCUGCCUUCAGCUCAUCUGUGUUUUGGGGGAUUUUAUUCCUUAAAGUAUCUUUCUGGAGAUUAAGUCAUGAGGCCAGAACAACCUGAAGGACCUGCAGGGAGUGAAGCUGCUGCUUUCUUUCCCAUGACUUUCCUUGCGCUGAACUCUGCAUCCCUCCCAACAGAGACCACAGGCUGCUCCUGCAGCACCAGCACAGCCAGUCUUAAACCCUCCUGUACUAAGGGAUCAUUGCUUUAGAGGGUAGUUACUGCAAAAUGUAAUCCCACAGCUACCAGGUCACUGAAACACAUCAGCAUUUGCUUAUGCAGAGACAGAAGGGUCAAGCCUGCGUUGGAAAAUCUCCCUGUCUGGGGUUUGUGGUGGGGCAUCCACCCUAAGACUGCUUGCCAAGCCCAAACACCCUCAAAUCAUGCUAUUGACUUACAAACCAUGAGAUUUAGAAAGUAAUUUAGCUGGUGGGUUUUGGUUGUUCUUUUUUUUUUUUUGCCUUCUAGGAUUUAAGUCUUCAGAGAACACAUAUUCAGGCUUUAUUCUGAGCCUUUCAGAGAAGCAAAGAAGACACCGAGAUCCUCUGUAAUCACCUGCCUCCGGGAGCUGCAGCUCCACAGACGGUACCAGGUAUCAGAGCUGGCAAAAUCACGGCGAUUCGGGGCUGGCUUGUCUGGCUGUGGUGGGUAAUGUGUUCACUGCAAUGACAGGGAAGCGUUACUGCUGUUGUGCAAGAAUACUCUCUAUAAUUCCCAAUGCGUGUGUUCAGAAAAAGAAGCCAGAAAUCCAUGGCAGGAGUGCGGAGAACUGAGGCCCAAGUGGCCUGUUUGGGCACCUCCAGGACUAGGGGGACUGGUACUGAGGGCAAAUGAAGCGGUGAGGGAGCUGGGCUGUGAUUUUGGGCUGAGAAGCCAAAAGUCAACCCAAGCGGCUUCUCUGAAACCAGCCCAAAGCUGCAAAGAGCCAAUGUCUAUGAAACGUCUACAGAUGCUUCAUUAUGUAAAAUUAUUCCCUUUUGAAACUCGGCUAAAAUAAUCCGGUUCUGUGGUGCGAUGCUGCUGGCUGGGCAGUGCUGGCUCGCCGUGCCCACGUUGGUGUUUCUCGUUCAGCUUCUUGCAGCGCUGGGAUGAAGAUGAGUCUGAGUGUCGGGCUGGGGACUAACGCCAGAACAACUGAUUUAAUACCUGGUCUGGUCUCAGCGGUUCCUCUGUGGAUUAGUACUGAUGAAAGGGCAGGUCCGUAUGGUAGGAGCACUUGUGGAAGGAGAUGCCUGGGCUCUGCUGGGCUGUCUGUGUUGGCUAACCACUGUAAAACCUCUGAAGUUUAUUCUGUCCACACAUGCUGCUGAGAAGAGAAGAGCAGUUCCUCUGGAGGCUUUAGCAUUCUGUAAGUAAAAUCGAUUUUUAGAUCAUGGGGCUGAGUUGAAAGCCAGUUGGGAUGGAUUUUGUUUAACUUCCCUAUUUAAAUAGCUCAUGUUGUUUGAAUACUUAUAUUUGCUUUUUGAUUAGCUCACCCAUGUUAGUGACUUGUAUGUCUGUAUCUUGUGUCUUUGGAAAAAAAUAAGCAGCUGUCAUGUAGGGCUACAAUAGGUAUUAACCAAUGUCUGACGUACAGAAAGUUAAUGUUACGGCCCCUUAACCCAAGCAGGGCAUGAAAACCUCAGCUCAUCAGGUGCCACUAGGACAUCAUCUUGCCAUUCUUGCCAGCUCUUCUCACUGUUGAUUUCUCCUGUGGUUGGUAUUUUUUGGGCUGUCAAGAGCGCUAGGAUCACAACUGUGCUGUUGUUAUCUUGCAAUAACCUCGCACACCGCUAUAAUAGCUAAGCUGUGAAGGGCAAGGUCACCUCUGAUGCUUGCAAAGCCAAUUAGGACUUACAGAGCACUAAACUCAGAUUUCUUCAAGCCAUUUAAUUUUAUUGAUCUGACACAUUUUUAUUUCCAGAUUACUCACUCUUGGGAACCAUCCAGGUUUCAUAGUGCGAAGGACUGUGUAAAAUGUAAUGAUUCAGCACUCCCAGUGUGGCCAACUGUGGAUUUUGUUAACCUUGCAAGCUACAUUUAAGACGCAAGGCAGGGCUUGAAGAGCACCAUCAUAUAUCUGAUGCUCUUCUGAAAGAGUUCUCCAAUUUGCAUUUCCUUCUUGUCGUCUUUAAAGUCAAAACACAUCCUUCACCUCUUUCUUGGUUAAAUCCUAGGAUUUUCCUGGAGGGGAGGUUCCCAGCACAUAAGAGAAUUCAGCAAUUCAGACAGUGCACGGAUUGAUACUUAACUAACUCUUCUUCCAAAAAUUACUGUACAGGUUGUUAAGUUUUUCCCUGUAGCUAAUGGGUCUCAGAUCAGAGAGGUGGCACUUCAGGGGAGAAGCUGGAGCUCACCCUCACCCACGGAAAGUGCAGCACAGCUGCAUGCUGUCGCUGUGUCCUUAACAGCCUUGUGAGUGCUGGCUCCAGGCACACACGGGCAUUUCCUGGAGAUUCCAGCAUGAGCAAAAGGACUUUGCUGGCAAUUUAAUGCCUUUUUGCACGGGAAAGAUACAUUCUUUUUGCUUCAGCUGAAUUGAGAGGCUUAAAAUCCCAAGAAAGGAAAUACAGUGCUUCUAGAUUAAUAGAGAGAGAUAUACUGUAAACACUUUAGUAUGUUGUGCAAUAAAAAGAGCCCUCAUGCCUUAUAAAUACAGGCACUUAGCUUAUCAUGUGCAUGUAGUCAGUUCUCCAGUAUCCACAGGCUGCUCGAAGGGCACACAGCUGAGCUGCUCUGAAGCCACUGAAGCUGCCUUUGUACGUGUUUCUCCUGCUUUGGGAGUUAUCUUGGACUGAGAACGACUCCGGGAAGAGCAAUCGUCAUUGCCCUGAGCCUGGGUGCAGGGCAGAGAAACCAUGCUGGCUGUGUGAGGAUCUGGCUUGUGUUUAAAACCGGUAGCAGCCAUUCUCGUUACUCUAGGUAACACGGAAAUCCCUCUUACGCUGCUGCUGACACACAGGAUGCCUGGACGUAGGGACCGGCAACAAAGGUAUGUGGCUGUAGAGUGAUGGUCGGAGCAUCUUUGUGUGAAGGAUCUGCAGAAUUAUCUGAAGAGCUGAGAGGGGUCUGUUAUCUGCAGAGUUAUUCUCCUAACUGAGCUAGCUGUGCCGUCGGGGUUUGCAGACUUUCCUUGCUCUGUAGCCAAGCAAUCCUAUAAUCCAGUGAAAUCUGGCUGAUGAAAAUCCAUGCUGUCACACUCCAUUAGAGGAUGGCCAGGGACAGGCACUAGACAGGACAAGCUAGACUGAUUGCAAAUGCCUCAUUUCUUUCAGAAAUCAGACUAGAAAUCUUCCCAGCACACUUAGGCUGGUUGCAAGCAGCUCUAAGUAUAUGUGAGAUGGGAAUGAUGGCCUGCAAAGUCAAACAAGAGCAGGAUGCUGAGAGCUGCUAAGAUGUAGAACCUUUCCUCAUCAGCAGCCCAGUUUGAAUUUUGUGGAUUUCCAUGGUUUUUCUUUUCAGUCUUUAGUCAUCACCUCUUCCUUUGAGGCUAUUAUGGCUGUGGCUGCCCGGCUCCUCUUCCCCUGCCCAUGUGAGUUCAUCCCAGGGACGCACCAAGCCCCGAGCUUGCGCAAACCCAACCGGGUGCUUGUGGGGCUGGUGGCAAUGGGCUGGCAGCCACCCUCUGCAGGACCGUCGGUUACCUCUCCUCUGAAAAAAAGUAUCACCACUACCUUGAAUUUGAUGUGAGAUACUGUAUUUCUAUCCAUCACAGGAAUUAGACGUUUAGUUGAAUGGCAAGUUGCGAAUUACCACGCUUUCCAAGUAUUUGUUCCCCUGGCCUUGACUACAAGCCAAGGAGGAACUGAUCCAAACAGAUUUCUCCCUUUGCUCACCUGAGGCUCCCAUUCCUCCUUCAAAAUGCUUUUUCAAAUUUCUUUUGAGGAACAAUACCUCCAAAUAAGGUAGUAGAGAAUAUAUAACGAAGUAUGAGAAGAUUUCUGUGGGAUCCAUCAUAUUGUCACGUUCCCAGUUCACCUCCUUGCCUCAGAUUCCCUUUGUUCCCCCUCCAUCCUCCCACCAGCCUCCCUGUUUGUUCUUUUUCUGUUUGACUGCCUACUUUCACAUUAAUUUUGGCUUUCCUUCAGUCUUGUAAUGCUGUAUCUAUUCCUUGAAUUUACUAUAGUUUGAUAUCGUGUUUCACGAGUCACUGCUGGGAACGGUAGAGUUUGAAGUAGAUAAAAAAACCCAACAAGCUGGUUCUUACAGAUCCAUAAAACUAAUUUGAAUUCAUGCUCUUUUUUCCCCCUUAUAAACCUUUGUGGAUUCUUUCCUCCACACACACAACCCAAAAGCUGAUGAAGUAAAUACAUGUAUGUAUUGCACGUGGUGAUGACUGUAUGCUGGGGAUGGAGGGCACCCACAAUUUCUUUCCUUUUCCAUCUGCAUGGGUGCUAAAUUAACACGCCACAGAAAGUCUGAAUCAUGUUUCCUUCCUAAGUUUUCUCUAAUCCUUUUUCCCCCUAGUUAAAUUAACUUUACAACCCACAGUGAGGAAAUUCAGUGGUAGCAAAUUGAGCAUGCAUCCCCAUUUACAUCUUUCCUAGCGAAAUGCUGCAUGGCAGCAACAGUGAAUCCCCAGCACUUCUCUGGCCAAAUAUUACUUUUCCCCACUUUUUCUUUGAUUAUUCUUUAUUGAACUUGUUUUCUCUAAUACAGCAGGAAGAAUGCUGAUGCUUAGAGGAAUUCGUACUCACCAAACAAGUAAGUUCUCCAUGCAACUUCACUUUGGUGUUUUAUCACCUUCAGAAAUUGUUCCUAAGCUUGUAUAUGCUGCUAAGAACAUUAGUCUUUAAAGAACUUUGUGCUAUGGUGGGGUAAGAUGAUUAAGUUGGCAAGGAUUUCUGUUGUGGUGUCAUCAUGAUUUUCAUUAGUACAGUGAAUUAUGACAGCUUGUUCUCUGCUCAAAUUGAUGUAAUUACUGCUCUGGAUCCCUGGCACAUUUCACUAGCACCUGACAUCUGGAAGAGAAAGGUGGGAGGCAAAGCAAGCUCUCAAAGUUGCUGUGUGAUGCACACUGACAGUCUCAUUUGUUCCAGCAGCUGCAGCGGCCAAGGGUAAUGGCCUUUGUUGGUCAGCAGAGCUAAUGCAAUUCUUGCAAAGAUAAAACAAAUAGCUCUUGUGAUUAGUGACGGAAAAUGCCAUCAAAUGAUGUGUUGUGCUGAAUAGGCAGUGACUGGAAUUGGCAGCACGUCCUUUACUUUAAAGUAACGUGUCAGAAGUGGGUGGGCGAGUUGGAGAAUUAUUUUAAAAAGAACAGAAAGCCUGCACCAAGUGUACACCAAGCUCAAGGCCCGUAUCGGAACAGAAAUAAUUGUUCCAGUUUGUUAAAUGGAAGAUAGUUCUACCAACAGAACUAUAAAGGGAUUAAUUUCUAGCUCGUCUACCGAAGGAUAAACUCUAGCCCUUGCGUGAUGGUGAUCCUUGGCGGGCUGGUACUGCACAGGUGCCAUUGCUUCUGCAGGAGCUGUGCGGACACGGAGCCUAAAGUGCAGCAUGCCCCUGUGUGGUGCCCCGCGGCAAAGAGGGAGACAGAUGUACCUGCUCUCCUCUGGUAUGGGUACAGAGCAGCUGGGUGCUGCGACCUGAACAGGAACAGCCACCACUUCAUCCUUGUUCUCCCUUUAGGGGAGGCCAGUGAUGCUGCCAGAUCAGUUUUCACACCGUAGCUGCCUGCAGGAGCCCCUCAGCGUGGGAUAGCAGCAAGGGUUGCCCAGCGAGGCUAGGGACACCCACAGUGGCUUGGUCACAAUCCUUCCCGUGACCCUCAACAGCCUGCAGUUCACCAGUGUGCAUCCAGCACUGCUGAUAAAAAGCGAUGCUGUCAGCUCGCCUUGCUUUGUACCUGGCAUUUAACAGCGGUAGCAAAGGGAGCCACCAAGAACAAGGCAAGUUCACAGGGGAAGUGAAUUUUCUUUGCAUUACAACAGAAGCUCCUUUUUUGCAGCAUUAAGCUUCUCACCAGCAGCUCAAAAUGCAGCCCGUUGGCAAUGUGGUUUUCUUAUGCAGACAUAUAUAUUCCAGCACUCAUUGCUGGUGAUGAAUCUUUUCACGGUGAUCUUGUUCCCUGCGGAGUCAGCAAAGCCUCACACGCUGCCAGUGCUGUGAGUGUCCGACAGGAAAAUCUGAUCUGCACUUCCACCGUUAAGCUUCUAUUUCCAGCCCUGAAAAUUAUGCUGGGUGACGUUCAGCAGCCAGGCUCUGUAAAACAGUGUAGACAAGAUUGUCAGACGGCUGCCUUGGCAGAAAAAUCUGCUCUGGCACUGAGGAAACCACUAUACAGGUAAAACAGAGCCCUGACCCAGCCAGGGACACGUGUGAGUGUGAAGCACCGGCGCUGCUGCUGCAAGACCUGAGGAGCCCUGGGUGUGCCAUACAUGGGCCACCACUGCCCAGGGACUUGGCCAGCACCGUGCAUCUCCAAGCAAAGCCAAAGCAACAUUUGUGCACGAGCUGCACCUGUAUGAAGCAGAUUCCCAAAAUCCCUGGUGGUGUGGGUCCCCUCACAGAAGUUGUCCCAAGCUGCUGGUAGCAGCCAUGCCUGUGGCAGGCUGUGGUGGGGGCACUGGGGGGGGGGGGGGGGGAGGGGGGGGCUGACAAAGGUCUUGGCAGUGCAUCCAACUCUUAGCAAAAUUUAGGUGCUCUUAACAAAAACCACACACAACUUUCACAGCUCUACACGCAACUUCCCUCACAACAGAGUGAGGUCUUGUGGCUGUCAUUAUCAAAGAUAUUUUCUGUACAGCUAUGUAUUAAACUUUUAAGAAAAUAACCAAACCCCAUUAAUCACUAGCAUUACUUACUACUGUGCCAGCCAAGGAUUACUUCAAUACUUAUUUUAAUGGAUUGCUCAGCUAGGAAUGAUUUUAAGGUUAAAGGUCUUGGAAGACUCUUUUUAUAAGCUUUCUGAAAUCUAGUCCAUCUCUAAUUUCCAUAUGUCUCACACAGCACUAGGCUAAUGUAAUGCAUCACCACAUAAAUCCCUCUCUGAUAAAAUUAUCCUGGGUAUUACAAAAAUUCAAAGCAUUAUUCUUAACUACGUGUGUCUUUUUCAGAUGUCUCACAAGUUGAGACAUAAGCCUGGUGUGUUGGAGACUUUUUUUUCCUUAAUGAUAGCUGGAAUAGGAAGUUUAAGAUGAUACCUGGUAGCUUAGAUCGUCCAUGUCAGCACAUCACAGACAGAACUGGCUUUUUAAAAAACAGCUCUUAAUAGAAAAGAGCUAACUUCCAUUCUUGUGUUCUCAGACUCAAAUUUUGGCCCCACUUCCAGUGUUUUUUAUCCCACGACCCAAGCUGCUUCCUCUAACAUCAUGUAAAACACUGAUGUGACUCCUUUGCUCUUUCAUCAUAGAUUUCCCUAAACAAUUUCAGUAUAUUCUCUGCUACCCAUGAUGUACAACCAGCAGUCUAAGCAGCAAGAGCACUCUGCUUCUGAUAGCUGCCUGGUUGACUGUCCAGUCAUGAUCUCCUGCAGAGGAGACAGGGAAUGCUGUUAUCCAAUUAAUUCUGGUGUGCAUGACUCUACACUCAGCUAGGACCAGACAGCUUUUUGCCUUCUCUAUCCCUUGAGUCAUUAAGAAAUUUCCUAGAAAUGGUGUGAGAAGGGCAACAUAAGAAGCCAGGCCAGGUCUACCAUGGUAUAUAUUACAGGGAAAAUUCAUGUCUGGAUACAGAAUCUAGAAGGCGGCAAAAAUUUGAUUUUUCCAAGAAACGUAAGGAAAGCUUGAAAAUACAAGCCUGUUAACACCUCACAAAGUCAAUGCAGCACCUGGAAGGCUAUAGAAGAGGAGACAAACUGGAAAGGAAGCCUUUUUUCUACAUUGGCAAAAAAACACGGUAAGGGAAAAGUCUCAUAUGUGAAGUCAUACGCAAUGGCUGUAGCAAGGAAAUCAUUAUAUCAAAGCCAGCAGACUUUGUACAUAAAAGAUAUGAAGAAAAAACCAAGAAAAAACACACAGCACGUGAAGUGAGCAAUGAUUCAGACAAGGAGACUGUGCCAGUAUCUAACACUACCCCAGCAAACCAGCAGAACAGUGUACCUUAAGCUAUCUUCAGAUGCAAGAACCAGCCCCACGCAGCCCCCAGGAGCCAGCUCGCUCAGAAGCAGCCAGGGAGGUUACCUGCAGGAGCCUGAGUAACUUACCUGGGAGUUAGUAAGUUCCAUGUAAGCUGUGUCGCAUCUGUUCUAUGCCAAAGCCGGUUGUAAAGCAAAGCUGAGCCAGCAGUUCAGAAUUGAAGGUGGCUGAAGAAAGCAAAGGCAAACUUAAGUUUACAGAGAGACCAAGGGCCUCAGAAACCAUUUUAAAAAGAUUUGUUGUUUUAACUUAACCUAAUAAAACUGUCGCCCUGAAGUCCUUGAAUACCACCACCGGCAUAGCUGCACUGCGCAUGAAAGGAAUACAAAGUUCACCUUUGGCUGGGUAAGUAUCACCUAUUCAAGGCUGUUCAGUGCUUCUGGGUGCCAAGUUUUCUUUUUCAAGUGUAUCUGAAAUUAUGAGAUGCCCAGACAGCCAGGCUCUUGCCCUUACCAGCAGUGAAGGUGGUUACUCUCUGAACACAAGUUUUGUAUUGGCUUGCAAUGAGGAGGACUCUCCUCACAGGGUUAUUUAAUGCAAAUCCCAUGACAAUUCUUAAAACUGCAAGCUGCCAGCCAGGUUUCCCAAGCCAAUAUGUUUCCAAUAAGAAGUGCUUGUUUUAUUUACAGGUUACCAUUAAAGAGUACAUUUGCACCACAUUAUUAAACCGAUAUUACUGAGAAUGAUGUGGCCAGAAUAGCUAUUCAUGCCUCAUGGCCAUCAAUGAUUUAUGCUGAGCCCACUGCCAUCCUUCCCCCUCAUCUGUGCUGACAUUCCUUCGUGAAUAUUUAAGGUAAUGUCUGCUCUCAUCUCUCGUUCAGAAUCAAACACAAGCACACUACAGCACACGAUGGGUAUUUGCAAUUCAACACAGAGCGCGCUGACACGUGAUGAAUGCUGGCAAUGACCGGGUACAGCACCGCUUUAGUUGUAAAGGGGCAAUACUUGCGAGGCUGCUUUGGGGUGCAGACUGUAUAACUCUCACCAAUAAGCCUUUGAAACUUUGCCUGGGAAGUGAAUGCAGAUUAUUGGAGCUCUUCCUUAUUCAAGUACAGGAACGUUUGAUGGGGCAGGAGUUGAGUGGCGGUGGUGCCAUCAAAUGUGAAGGGCACCUGGCUGGCUCAGCCCAUGGGGGGAGAUUCACCAUCCCAGGGCAUGAGCACGUGCCCUGCCUCAGCCCUGGGGGCUUCCCCAGGAGGGCAGCUCUGCUGCUGGCGUGCCAGCACAGCUAACCGUGCGAGCCAGCAGUGACAGCAGAGCUCAUUCCUCCACGAGCGCGCUGACCUUGCGUGACAGAGUUGGUAGUGAAAGACAUUUCAAACCACUCCUGAAUGGGAACACCAGGUUAUUUGUUUGUUUAGUGAAGCGACACCUCGCUGCCUGCAGGGCCAUGUAUGCCACUGUUAAACCUUCUCAACCAAUAUAUACAUAAAGCAAAUUCUGCACAGCUGUGGUUGUGUGUUCUUCUUAUUGUGAUCCCUUGGACAUAUUCCUGGCCUACAAUUGGGCUGUCAAAAAUACAGUAAUCUGUCCCCAGUGCCUGCAGCAUUUGUGCUGCGGAGCUACUGGGAGAUGCACAUGAUGCAGGAGGGGCAGGAGCACCAGGGUUAUUAAUAGCACCUGCCUCUGCAGCUUUUUAGCAGAGCACCACCCAUGCAAAAACAAUCUCCAUCUUGCCUCCGCACACCCUGAGUGUGGCAUUGGAAAUAAUUCAGCUUGCAAAAGAAGGACAGGCUUGAGGCAGUGAGGCUGUCACACAGGACACUGUCCUGCCACAUGCCCCCUCCCUCCACCUGCUCUACCUGAAUCCUCCCAUGGGACUGCGAGGUCCCCUGGGCUGAGCCGUGGCUCUGCUCCCUCCUUGACCAUGGGGACUCUGCCAGAGCUGAGUGGGAACAGGAUUGCCCGGGGUGUUGCUAAGAGCAGCAAGAAGGAUGCCGGAUGCCCUCCAACUCCCCUCUGCACCUCGCAUCCACUUGGUCCUCCAGCAUCACCUUGGCACUGGCCUGAGUUUACAGCUCACCUUCACCAGGAUGCAUGCCAGCGAAACAGAGCAGGUUCUACCAGCUUUCCAAAGUCCUUCCAGUUUUAGGCACUCCAGAGACAUCACAACAUUUAAGCAAAAUACCGUAAGCAUGAGUCUCCUCCCACCUGUGUUUUCUUACUAUACCUCAAAGUCAGGUGGGAGCCAUGCUCCUUCUGCCUGGCUUGCUUUUCACUCUCUGCAAGUGGAAACUGGGGUGUCACAGGGCCAUUUGUGACUGAGGGAACUGCCUCUCUCCAUCUCCUCAUGCUUCCUCGGUUCAAUUGUUGCAAUCAUUCUUGCUUGGAGAGUGUUCCUUGCAUUUGAAAAUCUCUCCCUGCUUAGAAUCCCCUGGAAACACCACUGCAAGUAGCUUUGCCUGUUACACAAAUUACACAGCCUGCUGGAAGAUUUAGAGAGUUUUCAAUACCUCUGGCAGUGCCAGGGCAACACCACCACAGCAGCCUCAGCUGCAGGCAAAGUCACCCGGCCACUGCCCUUGGGCCAGGCUGGGAUGCAGCCAGGACCCCUGCAGGUGACUGCCACACCGAGAAUGGGGACAUCCUUGUGUGCCACUUGGGUUACCACAGGCUCCAGCUGUAACAUCACUGUUGAUUCAGAACAUCUUCUAAAUAAAAUCCUGUGUAUUGUUCACAAUUUA